CUAACAAGGAUUUUCUUAGUAGCGGCGAGCGAAAAGAAAACAGUUCAGCACUAAGUCACUUUAUCUUUAUGGUAAAUGUGAGAUGCAGUGUAUGGAACGUCUAUAAUCUAAUAAUAUUAAUUAACGAUUUAAGUUUCUCUCAAAAGAGGCCAUUUACCCAUAGAGGGUGCCAGGCCCGUAUAACGUUAAUGAUUAUUAGAAGAUGUUUCCAAAGAGUCGUGUUGCUUGAUAGUGCAGCACUAAGUGGGUGGUAAACUCCAUCUAAAACUAAAUAUAACCAUGAGACCGAUAGUAAACAAGUACCGUGAGGGAAAGUUGAAAAGAACUCUGAAUAGAGAGUUAAAUAGUACGUGAAACUGCUUAGAGGUUAAGCCCGAUGAACCUGAAUAUUCAUUAUGGAAAAUUCAACAUAUGCCUGUGGUAUAUAAAAAAUACUAUAGAAAUAUUGUGCAUUUUUUCCAUAUAAGAACAUUGUAAUCUAUUAACAUAAUAUAUAUUUAUCAUAAGAUCAUUAGCUUAAGUUUAUUCAAAUUAAAUUGCUUGCAAUUUAACAUAGAAUAAAUGCUUAUGAUUUGAUAAAGUGUUGAUAGAUUUAUCAAAUUAGUGCUUAAAUUCAUAUAGAAUUUUAUAAUUGCAUGAAUAAUCUUUUUAAGAUUUUUAUGUAUAUUAUUUGCGCUUAAUUGAUUAACAAUGCGAUAGAUUCAGGAUACCUUCGGGACCCGUCUUGAAACACGGACCAAGGAGUCUAACAUAUGUGCAAGUCAUUGGGAUUAUUUAAUAUAAACCCAAAGGCGAAAUUAACUUAACUUAACUAAAAUGGGAUUAGUUUUUAGUCUAUUUUAUAGUCUAUUAAUUCAAUCCCGGGGCGUUCUAUAUAGUUAUGUAUAAUAGUAUUUAUAUUAUUUAUACCUCUAACUGGAGCGUACCUUGAGCAUAUAUGCUGUGACCCGAAAGAUGGUGAACUAUACUUGAUCAGGUUGAAGUCAGGGGAAACCCUGAUGGAAGACCGAAACAGUUCUGACGUGCAAAUCGAUUGUCAGAAUUGAGUAUAG
This 1052-nucleotide ribosomal RNA is filed under the name Sepedon fuscipennis. RNAcentral's name for it is "eukaryotic LSU rRNA". It matches the Rfam family "Eukaryotic large subunit ribosomal RNA", at positions 65 to 920 of the family's 3401-position model. The record is from RNAcentral. Lineage: Eukaryota; Metazoa; Arthropoda; Insecta; Diptera; Sciomyzidae.